UUUUUUUUUUUUUUUGUCUUUCUUUUGCCUUUUCUGGGGCCACUCCCGUGGCAUAUGGAGGUUCCCAGGCUAGGGGUUUAAUCGGAGCUACAGCUGCUGGCCUACGCCAGAGCCACAGCAACACGGGAUCCGAGCCGUGUCUGCAACCUACACCACAGCUCAUGGCAACGCCGGAUCCUUAACCCACUGAGCAAGGGCAGGGAUUGAACCCGCAACCUCAUGGUUCCUAGUCGGAUUCGUUAACCACUGCGCCACGACGGGAACUCCUCGGGUUUCUUUCCAGUGGUAAAUACUACAGUCCUGCACAGUCUGAGGUUGACAGAAUCCACGCAUAUGGAGAACUAAUUAGAAGUUACAUGUGGAUUUUCAACGGCUCGGAGGGUUGGUGUCCCUUACCCCAACUCUAUAGCCCCCCACACUGAAAACAAGUGUUCAAAGUCAUGCUCAUACAUGAAUGGUCAUGGCAGCAUUAAUCACAACAGCCAAGACGCGGAGACAGCCCCGUGUCCACCAGCCGAAGAAUGAACACAUAGAAUGUGGCACAGCCACGCAGCGGAAUAUUAUUCAGUCAUGAACAGGACUGAAGUCCUGGCACAGCUGCGGCAUGGAUGGACCUUGAAAACAUGCUCGGUGAGAGAAGCCAGACACAGAAGGCCACACACUGUAUGGUUCCACAGGAAAUGUCCAGAACAGGCAAAUCCACAGAAGCAGAAAGCAGGUGAGUGGUUUCUAGGCGCUGGGGGAGAGGGAAAGAAAAUGACUAAUAGUUAUGGGGGUUCCUUUUGGGGUGACCAACUGGAAAGAGGUGACGGUCACACAACACUGUGACUGUACUAAAUGCCACUGAAUUAUUCACUUUAUUAUUAUUAUUAUUUUUGUCCUAGUCCGUGGCAUGCAGACGUCCCUGGGCCGGGGUCAAAUCUGAGCCACAGCAGUGACAAUGCUGGAUCCUUAACUGCUAGGCCAACAGACAACUCCUGAAUUAUUCACUUCAAAGCAGCUAGUUUUACAUUAUGUGAAUUUUGGCUCAAUACACAAAAAUUUAAAUUAACAUGCAUGGCCAAGACUGUACUAGACAAUCAGGGGGCUCCCACAGCCACCCAGAAACUCUCGGGUCCCCAAAUAAAAUGCUGAGACUGGAGAAAGGAGUCUCUCCCAGGUCCCCUGGCUGGGGGAGCCGUGCCGGGCUGGCCUGCGAGGCUGGGUGAUGGUGGAUCAGGGCCGAGGACGUAGACACCCCCCACCCCAGUGAGUGUUAACUGGACCCCGUCAGAUCUAGGGCCUCCCCAGAUGGAGCCGAUGUGUGAACCGUGUUGCUGUCAGGAUUUCAAACCACUAGCAUCCAACGCACAGCACAGAUCAAAGGUCCGAGAUUCAACCCUCAGCCUGACCACGGAGUGGGGCUGGGUGGUGGAGGCACCUGGGCAGCCGAGGGGGUGAUUCCUCAGCUGAACCAUGGGGCCGAUCCCGGGGUUCGGGGGGGAAGGCGGUGGGGGGGGGGCUUGGACACCCCCAGGAUUCAGAUGAGGCCUUGGAGCAUCUCCCUGUCCGCGGCAAUAGUCUCCUUCUGUCUCCGAGAAGACCUCACCCGCCCUCCUUUGCAUCUUAGAAUCCUUCAAGUCACAGCUCUGUCCCUCCUCCUCCAGGAAGCCCUCCGAGAAUCCUUCAGCCGUGUGCCCUCAACCCCUGGGGUGCCCCUGCUGGACUUUAAGGUGCCUGAGGAUAAAGUCGCUACCUCUAACCUCCUGCUGUCAUUCAGGGAGAUAGUGACCAUGUUCGAAUUUCCUGGCCACUCCUGUGACCCUUAUAAUCCACCGGAAUGUUCUGGAAAUGACGUUCUGACUUCCCAAGGCCAAGUACCUGAUGUCCUAUCUUUGUAUGUAGAAAAGAAGUCCCUUUGUCCCCAUGCCUGGCAGGGCUGGGACACCCAGCAGGUGUGCGCUAGGCAGGAAGGCCAGCAUUCGGGGACCCUCUCGAUGGUCACACCCUCGACCUGCAAAGGGUCUGAUCUCUAGGUGGCCAGAGCGGAAGAGUGACCUCAAUUCCUGCUUCCCUCCCCUCCUGGACCAUGGCCACAGGGCUUGGGCUGGGCUGGGGGUCCAGCAGCAGAGCGAACACACACCUGGGCAGCAGGACUCCGGGCCCCUCGUGGCCCUGCGGGUGCUCUGACAGCCCAUCAGGGAGCUGGGUCCAGGCCCAGCGGCCUGAGCUGGCACCUGCAGGAGGUGGGUGGAAGGAAAUGCCCCCUGCUCCCAGGCAUGAGGCUGCUGGUUCUGUUUUGGUGAAACUGUGACGGAUCCAUGAGAAUCAGAGGCCUGGAGGCCUGAGUGGCAACUCAGCAUGGGGACAGGAAGGACGCCAAUAGCAGAAGCAACUGCCAGAAGCCGCCAUCGAGUCUCUUCAGGAACAGGGUUGGGGUAACAAUCAGGCAAUAAGAGGAAAAGUGUGAAGCAGCCCUGAGUUGUCUUUGUCAGGCCACACCUGGAGCAUGUGGAAGUUCCCAGGCCAGGGAUCAAACCCGCGUCACAGCGCCGACCCGAGCUGCUGCAAUGACAAAACGCCGGAUCCUUAACCCACUGCACCACAACGGAAUUCUGCCUUUAGUUCUCUUUUUUUCUUUUUCUUUCUUUUUUUUUUUUUUGUCUUUUUGCCUUUUCUAGGGCCACUCCCUCGGCAUAUGGAGGUUCCCAGGCUAGGGGUCCAAUUGGAGGUGUAGCCACCAGCCUACACCACAGCCACAGCCACAGCAACGCAGGAUCUGAGCUGCAUCUGCGACCUACACCACAGCUCACGGCAACGCCGGAUCCUUGACCCCUGAGCAAGGCCAGGGAUCGAACCCGCAACCCCAUGGUUCCUAGUCGGAUUUGUUAACCACUGCGUCAUGACGGGAACUCUCUGGUUUUCUCACUUUGCUGAUCUGUCCAUUCAUUCAUUUGACAAGUAUUUAUCGAGGGCCUACUGUGGGCCGGGCACUGACCUAGGGGCUGGGCAGACGGAGUUGGAAAUUCUUGUCCUCUGGGAGCUGCUCAGACACUGGGCACGGCAGACGAUAAGAAAAAUCAGCGAAAUACACUGCUAGACAGCGCUGUGAGCCUGUGACAGCCUAAGGACGAGGAUGGGACACAGCAGGAGGUGGCCCUUUUAGCAGAGAAGGACAGGAUGCCAGUGAAGAGGGUGA
RNAcentral lists this long non-coding RNA (3178 nucleotides) under Sus scrofa (pig). RNAcentral describes it as "lncRNA (ENSSSCG00005020440.1)". Lineage: Eukaryota; Metazoa; Chordata; Mammalia; Artiodactyla; Suidae. The record is from RNAcentral.